This is a long non-coding RNA of Castor canadensis (American beaver), 2016 nucleotides long. The record is from Ensembl. NCBI's taxonomy places the organism in Eukaryota, Metazoa, Chordata, Mammalia, Rodentia, Castoridae.
UUUAAAUGGUCCUGUAUGAGCUGUAACUCAGAAUGAAAUCAUUCAUUUGUAUCAUAAAGAUAAAGACUUUUCGAGAAAGAAGAACAUAUCAGUCAAAUGAACAUGUCUCAUGGGACACUGAUCUCUCCAUACACAGAAGCAGGAACAGCUGAGAUAUUUCUGAAGCAUUUUCAUCCAAAAGUAGAAUUUACCAUCUUAGUUUCCCAAAUUUUAGAUAACUUGCAGUCCUGAAAUACUCAUUCUAAUAUUUAAGUGUGUAUAUAUGGAGGGAAAGUCUAUACCCUAAAGGGAAAUUUAAAUUUAUAAUUAAGUUGAAAAUAUCUUGAGUAUUUUAUCUCUAGUUAGUUCUCAGCCAUCAUUUGGUCAUUAAUUGAGAUUAAUUAAAAUGCAUUUUACCUGGUGUCAAGCACAUAGUAGGUGCCCAGUAAAUGGUUCUGUAAUUGAACAAAGAGACCGUGGCCUAGAUCACAGUUGUAUAAGUGGAACUGAACACUGAGCUAAAUUUUAGUUUGAAAAGAAAGUGUUUAGAUGCUAUUAGAAAAAGCUGUGUAGAAGGAAAAAGAACAAGCGAAAUGUUCACACCUGGCAAUUGAAACUUAUCAAGUGUUAACUCUUACAGUGAUUUUUUUGUUUUUAAAGGGAAGGAAUGAAAAAAAAGAAAGGAGCAUCAUCAUCAAACUGGUAUCUCCUACACUAUGCAAAAAAAAAGUGACAUGAAAGUUGUAUUAGAUGAAUAAAUUAUUGAACCCAUUAUAUGAAGCCUGUAAAUAUUCAAAGUAUUCUUUUCACCAUUGAUGUUUCUGAUUUUGCAUGGACUGAGAGAAGCAGGUGCUUCUUAGUGUUCACAGUACAUGUAAUCAUUCCAUUCUAUGUGAUGUAAAAACUCACUCAUGAGAGAACCUUCCUUUCACAGGAUAUGGAUCCAAGCUUCCAGAUCUCCCAUUUGUAGGGGAAUCUAUACCUUAGGCCCAGACAAGCUGACCAGUCUGAGGGUUAGGAAGAUUUUCUCAAAGGAGGAGAUGCCAUUCCAGUAUACAUACAGUGCCCUUAAUCCUGAUGCAGAAAUGGUUUUCAUUCUGGGGAUGGUGGCUAAUAGAAUAAAUGAAGUUCAUCUACUCAGGACUUCAUAUAGUCAAGUAUAACUGUGUCCACAUUGAAAAUAAGACAUUAAUGCCCUGAGUAUUAACGUAGCCUGUGCUCAUUACAGAAUCCAUGCAGGAGUCAGGUAAGUUAGGCUAAGAGAACCAGUGUUGAUCUGUUGUUUUCUUUUUUAUUGUACUUAUGGUUCUUUUUUGCCUUUGUGGUAGUCUUGUCCCGUGAACUGGACUGGACUUGUCAUUUCCUACACUCAUAGAUUGUUUACCAAAACUAAAUUUCAGGUUUUGCCUUACAACAUUUUACGUAUUGUAGAAAAUAUUUGAUGAGUAGCAUCUUAACUACCCUCCUUUACACUGUCCCUAUAAAUCAGGUAAAAGGAUAUUUUCUUUCACAAGUAGAGAAAUCAAGGCAUAGAACAGGUUCAAAUACUUACGCCAUUGUGCUUAUCAAUGACAUAACCUUAGAGUCUUAAUGCUAAACCUGACUCCAGAGCAGUAACAACUAGUGUCUACUCCAUACUGAAUUUUGAUCAGUUGUAUUCUUUUUUUUAAAUUGUUGUGCUGGGUGGGGGUACAUUGUAGCAUUUAGAAAAGUUCUUACAAUAUAUCAAACAUACCAUACUUGAAUUCACCACCCCCACACUGCUCUCUAUCAUUCCCCUUCCCCCAGUUGCUGAAACAGUUUCACAGUAUCAUUUUUGCAUUUACAUACAUGUGUUGUAUACAUUAUUUCCACAGUAUCCAUCCUCCUACUCCUUUCCUCCCCCAACCUCCUCCCCCCAGGGGUGCCACUCCCGCAAAAACCUAUUCUGCCCUCCUGAUCAGUUGUGUUCUUUAACUAUCAAUUUUUUAGUCCCUAAGGCAUCCCUUCACAAUACUGUGCAGAUGUGGAAUAAAGUUAAGUGAACUAAUGUAUGCA